This 301-nucleotide ribosomal RNA is filed under the name uncultured bacterium. RNAcentral's name for it is "partial 16S ribosomal RNA". It matches the Rfam family "Bacterial small subunit ribosomal RNA", at positions 509 to 809 of the family's 1533-position model. The record is from RNAcentral.
CAGUCGCCACGGUAAUACGAAGGGGGCUAGCGUUGUUCGGAAUUACUGGGCGUAAAGCGCACGUAGGCGGAUAUUUAAGUCAGGGGUGAAAUCCCAGAGCUCAACUCUGGAACUGCCUUUGAUACUGGAAGUCUUGAGUCCGGGAGAGGUGAGUGGAACUGCGAGUGUAGAGGUGAAAUUCGUAGAUAUUCGCAAGAACACCAGUGGCGAAGGCGGCUCACUGGCCCGGUACUGACGCUGAGGCGCGAAAGCGUGGGGAGCAAACAGGAUUAGAUACCCGCGUAGUCCCUGUCUCUUAUAU